MicroRNA precursor from Medicago truncatula (barrel medic), 87 nucleotides. It matches the Rfam family "MIR2617 microRNA precursor family". The record is from Rfam. Lineage: Eukaryota; Viridiplantae; Streptophyta; Magnoliopsida; Fabales; Fabaceae.
AAGUAGUGUGACAUGCCCGUUUGGACUUACUCUGAUGAGUUUUAUUUAUUAUUUAAUUGCUUUGGGAUAACGGGGUGUUACAUGAGG